AAUGGGUCAUUAGAGGUGCCUGGAGACUGUAAUUAUGGUAUAGCGUUUCAUGGGUUUGCAAUUGCCGGCUGUGUUUUCUAGACGCCCGAAUCAAGUCUACUGUGGAAUGAUGCCUCUCAGAAAGUUUGCAUACAAUAUUCUGGAUAAUGAAUAAAAGGAGAUGUUCACCUUUGGCUCAAGGCCCCACUUACUCCAAGAUGCCGGUGGUUGAACGAGAGUUUGCUGCAGGAAGAAAGAGGCCCCUGAGGAGUCGUGCUUCCAGUGAAGCCACUUACCCAUCUAAAGGCAGAACGCAGCGCCACCUGUCGGUGAAAGAGGGUGACGGAUGUCUGACUCAAGAGGACCGGUGGAUCCAUCAUCACCCGUGAAGUGUCAGUCAUCCCCUGGGUGCAGGCCUGCCUUGGACGGGGUGGGGUGGGUAAGGGUGUGCAGGAGAACCCGGAGGCCCAGCUCUGCUUCCGGCUCAGAGAGGGCCGAGUUGGGAGGUUGAGCUGCCUACUUUGGUCCCUCGUCCUGGGCACCAGUGGCUCUCAGAAAAUAAACGGAAGUGGGACGUGUCAGAAGCGAAGGAUCUGGCUUGGCUUGAGGAACAUGGAGAGUCUCUGGCAAAGCAGCAUACCUGAGCAAGCACAUAAUUUUACAGAAGCUACUCACUGCAGUAUUGUUUGAAAUACAAAAGUUGAAAACGACCCCUGCAAGAGGAGCGGUAAAUAAAGUAUGUUGCCUCCAUAUAGAAGAACACUGUGUAGCUGUAAGAAAAUAAUAAAAAACCUUUUUAGGUACCCAUGUAGAAAAGUAUCCAAGGUACAUUAAGAGAGAAACAAAACAAGAGCAGAGACUAACAGUGUGUAUAAUAGGCCAUGUGCAUAUGUAUAUACAUAUAUAUGUAUUUAUAUAUACGUAUAUAUAAAGAGGGAAUAUAAAAUAAAUAUUCAUUUUGCUUGGCUAAGCCUAAGAAAACUCUGAAGCAUGCAUGGAAAAAUGUUAACACAGUGGUUGCUGGAGUGAAUGUGUGGAGACAGGAAUGGCAGGGAGACC
This 1038-nucleotide long non-coding RNA is filed under the name Ailuropoda melanoleuca (giant panda). RNAcentral's name for it is "lncRNA (ENSAMEG00000026743.1)". The record is from RNAcentral. Lineage: Eukaryota; Metazoa; Chordata; Mammalia; Carnivora; Ursidae.